UAUAAAUGGGGUUAGAGUUUCAUAUUUACCAAGAGGCUGAGUCAAAGUCUCAUAUUUCUUAAAAAUGAGGUUGACUAAAUUGAUGACAUGGCACAUGAAUUAUUACUGUUUAAAACUUGUGGUGCCUAAAAUGCCCUUCUCACUAUUCCAGCACAUUUACCUUAUUGCCCCCGUUUAAUUUAGUCACUCAACUUGUUGCCCUAAAAUACACAGUCACAAAUCCAGCGAAGCAAGCCCAGGCAAACACAGCAUCACCGAACAUGGAACCCUAACCCUCCCUCAUCUCAUUCGUGAAGAGCCCUUAAGAGUCCUCUCUCUCUCUCCCCCCAUCUCUGUAACAGGAUUGAAGCGUAGCCGUUGAGCCCUAACCCUCAUUCAAGCCCUCUCUCUUUCCCCCUCUGUAACAGCAAAGCACUUCUCCACGUCUAACCGUCGUUGGUGCGCCCUCUCUGUAACCCAGCGAAGCACUUCUCCACUUCUGCCAUUCAUUUAUUGUUGUUCUAGUAAUAUGGACCAUGUGGAAGCAAGUGGCAGUACGUGUGGUGCCUACAGGCUUUUUGUUGGAUUUCACUAGUUAGCUAACUAGCUUGUGCCAAGGUGUGUGAGUUUUCUGGCAGCUGGAGGGUCGUGAAAGCAAGGAGGUUAUGGGAUUAUGUGACAAUGGACGGGCUUACAUGUUACAUGCUUACGGAAGGCUAGGAAAAUAACAUCAUAUUAAAGUCAUUAUGACUUGUUUCCUCACUAUUAAUUCCUUGGAGCUCCCCUACUGCAUUAUGACUGUUAUUUCAACCACAAUUUACCUCAUGAGGCUGAAUGGAUAAAUCAGUACAAAGGAAGAGUGUUCAGUUUAAACGACAAGCCUGUGGUGCAUAAAAUUUGGCUGCCGAAUGAGGAAUGCCCCAGAUUGGCAAUGUCUAGAGCCUUUGGGGACUACUUUAUUAAGGAUUUUGGACUUAUAUCCGUCCCUGAAGUGAGGUGUUGUCACAUAUAACCAGCAGAGACCAAUUUGUUGUGUUGCGAACCGAUGAGUCUUCCCGCUAGGGGCUGGGAAGAGAUAACAACGGGAGCGUCGAUUGCAUGGCUAUCAAGUACAUCAAAUUUGAAUUGGACACAAAAAUGUCGCGAUUCCCUCUCUCCGAUCAGAAACUUCGAAGGCAAAAUUUGUGCGAAAAAGUAUGUGUUUCCAUCUGCUUGUGUGUGUUUAUGUAUGUUCGCCAACCAAUUGAUAUUUUCGGCUUUCUGUUUCGUUGCAAUGAAUUCAAGAAAACGAGAAAAGUUUAAAUUCUUUUAGCUUUUGUAUCGAAUUCCUUUUGAUUUUCUUUCUUUUGUUUGUCUUCGUGAAUUUGUUGGACUUUUGGAUUUACUGUGAACUACGGUUUCUUCGUCUACUAUUUGAAUGUUUCUUUUUUUUAGACGAUAUCUAGUGUUGUUUGCAAUAUCUUUAGAUUUUUGUGGUUGAUGUUCCCAUUAAUUUCUUGGAUUUUGAUUUUUUUUCACGUAAGGGUUUCUUUAGCAUAUUUGGAUGGUUUAUUGUCUACGAAUAUGAGUUUUCAGGAAUUUAGGGUUUAUUUGUUCAACUUGUAUAGAUUCUGCACGACUAUAAUUUUUGACAUCAUUAGAUAAUUUUUUGGAUGGUUUGGAUUUCCAUGGGAUUCAACAUGAAGAUUCAGGGAAAACACACUCAAUAUGUUUUUGUUUCUAUUUGUAUAAAUUUGGAUUUACGUAGUUCUUUCUUUAUUCAGAGAAAUAGACCCAAUAAAGUUUAAAUAAUCAAUAGGUCCCAUAA
Long non-coding RNA from Cornus florida, 1786 nucleotides. RefSeq lists it as uncharacterized. The record is from RefSeq and is a predicted model, not a curated record. NCBI's taxonomy places the organism in Eukaryota, Viridiplantae, Streptophyta, Magnoliopsida, Cornales, Cornaceae. The transcript has 6 exons.